Molecule: ribosomal RNA, 684 nt
Filed under: uncultured Snodgrassella sp.
Lineage: Bacteria; Pseudomonadati; Pseudomonadota; Betaproteobacteria; Neisseriales; Neisseriaceae
Description: bacterial SSU rRNA
Rfam family: Bacterial small subunit ribosomal RNA
Source: RNAcentral
UGUAGCAGUGAAAUGCGUAGAGAUGUGGAGGAAUACCGAUGGCGAAGGCAGCCUCCUGGGAUAACACUGACGUUCAUGCUCGAAAGCGUGGGUAGCAAACAGGAUUAGAUACCCUGGUAGUCCACGCCCUAAACGAUGUCAAUUAGCUGUUGGGCAACUUGAUUGCUUAGUAGCGUAGCUAACGCGUGAAAUUGACCGCCUGGGGAGUACGGUCGCAAGAUUAAAACUCAAAGGAAUUGACGGGGACCCGCACAAGCGGUGGAUGAUGUGGAUUAAUUCGAUGCAACGCGAAGAACCUUACCUGGUCUUGACAUGUACGGAAUCCUCCAGAGACGGAGGAGUGCCUUCGGGAGCCGUAACACAGGUGCUGCAUGGCUGUCGUCAGCUCGUGUCGUGAGAUGUUGGGUUAAGUCCCGCAACGAGCGCAACCCUUGUCAUUAGUUGCCAUCAUUUAGUUGGGCACUCUAAUGAGACUGCCGGUGACAAGCCGGAGGAAGGUGGGGAUGACGUCAAGUCCUCAUGGCCCUUAUGACCAGGGCUUCACACGUCAUACAAUGGUCGGUACAGAGGGUAGCCAAGCCGCGAGGUGGAGCCAAUCUCACAAAACCGAUCGUAGUCCGGAUUGCACUCUGCAACUCGAGUGCAUGAAGUCGGAAUCGCUAGUAAUCGCAGGUCAGCAUACUG